AGAGUUUGAUCCUGGCUCAGAACGAACGCUGGCGGCGUGCCUAACACAUGCAAGUCGAACGKRAUUGAGRRGCUUGCUCUYCAWKWWAGUGGCGCACGGGUGAGUAACGCGUAGAUAAUCURCCUGAUGAUCYGGGAUAACACUUCGAAAGRGGUGCUAAUACCKGAUAAGCCCACGGRGUCUUYGGACUCUGCGGGAAAAGGGGGGGGACCUUYGGGCCUUCYGUCAUCAGAUGAGUCUGCGUACCAUUAGCUAGUUGGUAGGGUAAWGGCCUACCAAGGCKACGAUGGUUAGCUGGUCUGAGAGGAUGAUCAGCCACACUGGAACUGAGACACGGUCCAGACUCCUACGGGAGGCAGCAGUGAGGAAUCUUGCGCAAUGGGGGAAACCCUGACGCAGCAACGCCGCGUGAGUGAGGAAGGUCUUCGGAUCGUAAAGCUCUGUCGGAUGGAAAGAACCGCAUAGGGGUAAACAGCUCCUAUGUCUGACGGUACCAUCAAAGGAAGCACCGGCUAACUCCGUGCCAGCAGCCGCGGUAAUACGGGGGGUGCAAGCGUUGUUCGGAAUUAUUGGGCGUAAAGAGCGUGUAGGCGGCCUGAUGUGUCAGAUGUGAAAGCCCUGGGCUUAACCCAGGAAGUGCAUUUGAAACUGUCAGGCUUGAGUAGGGGAGAGGGAAGUGGAAUUCCUGGUGUAGAGGUGAAAUUCGUAGAUAUCAGGAGGAACACCGGUGGCGAAGGCGACUUCCUGGCCCUAUACUGACGCUGAGACGCGAGAGCGUGGGUAGCAAACAGGAUUAGAUACCCUGGUAGUCC
Molecule: ribosomal RNA, 812 nt
Filed under: uncultured bacterium
Lineage: Bacteria
Description: partial 16S ribosomal RNA
Rfam family: Bacterial small subunit ribosomal RNA
Source: RNAcentral